RNAcentral lists this ribosomal RNA (1744 nucleotides) under Proteus mirabilis. Its description in RNAcentral is "bacterial LSU rRNA". It matches the Rfam family "Bacterial large subunit ribosomal RNA", at positions 1223 to 2925 of the family's 2925-position model. The record is from RNAcentral. Lineage: Bacteria; Pseudomonadati; Pseudomonadota; Gammaproteobacteria; Enterobacterales; Morganellaceae. RNAcentral also lists the same sequence under 1 other name.
GUUGGGUAGGGGAGCGUUCUGUAAGCCUGCGAAGGUGUACUGUGAGGUAUGCUGGAGGUAUCAGAAGUGCGAAUGCUGACAUAAGUAACGAUAAUGCGGGUGAAAAACCCGCACGCCGGAAGACCAAGGGUUCCUGUCCAACGUUAAUCGGGGCAGGGUGAGUCGACCCCUAAGGCGAGGCUGAAAAGCGUAGUCGAUGGGAAACGGGUUAAUAUUCCCGUACUGGUGGUAACUGCGAUGGGGGAACGGAGAAGGCUAGGUUGUCCGGGCGACGGUCGUCCCGGUUCAAGCAGGUAGGCAGAGUGAUUAGGCAAAUCCGGUCACUUAAUGCUGAGAUGUGAUGACGAACCACUAAGGUGGUGAAGCAAUUGAUGCCCCGCUUCCAGGAAAAGCCUCUAAGCUUCAGGUUACCAACAAUCGUACCCCAAACCGACACAGGUGGUCAGGUAGAGAAUACUCAGGCGCUUGAGAGAACUCGGGUGAAGGAACUAGGCAAAAUGGUGCCGUAACUUCGGGAGAAGGCACGCUGGCGGUAGGUAAAGUCCCUUGCGGACGGCGCUGAAGCCAGUCGAAGAUACCAGCUGGCUGCAACUGUUUAUUAAAAACACAGCACUGUGCAAACACGAAAGUGGACGUAUACGGUGUGACGCCUGCCCGGUGCUGGAAGGUUAAUUGAUGGGGUCAGCCGCAAGGCGAAGCUCCUGAUCGAAGCCCCAGUAAACGGCGGCCGUAACUAUAACGGUCCUAAGGUAGCGAAAUUCCUUGUCGGGUAAGUUCCGACCUGCACGAAUGGCGUAAUGAUGGCCAGGCUGUCUCCACCCGAGACUCAGUGAAAUUGAACUCGCUGUGAAGAUGCAGUGUACCCGCGGCAAGACGGAAAGACCCCGUGAACCUUUACUAUAGCUUGACACUGAACAUUGAGCCUUGAUGUGUAGGAUAGGUGGGAGGCUUUGAAGUGUGGACGCCAGUCUGCAUGGAGCCAACCUUGAAAUACCACCCUUUAACGUUUGAUGUUCUAACCUAGGCCCAUAAACUGGGUCGGGGACCGUGUCUGGUGGGUAGUUUGACUGGGGCGGUCUCCUCCUAAAGAGUAACGGAGGAGCACGAAGGUUGGCUAAGCAUGGUCGGACAUCAUGCGGUUAGUGCAAAGGCAUAAGCCAGCUUGACUGCGAGAGUGACGGCUCGAGCAGGUACGAAAGUAGGUCUUAGUGAUCCGGUGGUUCUGAAUGGAAGGGCCAUCGCUCAACGGAUAAAAGGUACUCCGGGGAUAACAGGCUGAUACCGCCCAAGAGUUCAUAUCGACGGCGGUGUUUGGCACCUCGAUGUCGGCUCAUCACAUCCUGGGGCUGAAGUAGGUCCCAAGGGUAUGGCUGUUCGCCAUUUAAAGUGGUACGCGAGCUGGGUUUAGAACGUCGUGAGACAGUUCGGUCCCUAUCUGCCGUGGGCGUUGGAAGAUUGAGAGGGGUUGCUCCUAGUACGAGAGGACCGGAGUGAACGCACCACUGGUGUUCGGGUUGUCAUGCCAAUGGCAUUGCCCGGUAGCUAAGUGCGGAAGAGAUAACCGCUGAAAGCAUCUAAGCGGGAAACUUGCCUCGAGAUGAGUCUUCCCUGUCGCUUUAAGCGACCUAAAGGAACGUUUAAGACUAAGACGUUGAUAGGCUGGGUGUGUAAGCGUAGCGAUACGUUGAGCUAACCAGUACUAAUGAACCGUGAGGCUUAACCUGACAACACCGAAAGUGUUUUG